Molecule: ribosomal RNA, 465 nt
Filed under: Vreelandella stevensii
Lineage: Bacteria; Pseudomonadati; Pseudomonadota; Gammaproteobacteria; Oceanospirillales; Halomonadaceae
Description: partial 16S ribosomal RNA
Rfam family: Bacterial small subunit ribosomal RNA
Source: RNAcentral
CCUACGGGUGGCAGCAGUGGGGAAUAUUGGACAAUGGGGGGAACCCUGAUCCAGCCAUGCCGCGUGUGUGAAGAAGGCCCUCGGGUUGUAAAGCACUUUCAGUGAGGAAGAACGCCUGGUGGUUAAUACCCAUCAGGAAAGACAUCACUCACAGAAGAAGCACCGGCUAACUCCGUGCCAGCAGCCGCGGUAAUACGGAGGGUGUGAGCGUUAAUCGGAAUUACUGGGCGUAAAGCGCGCGUAGGUGGCUUGAUAAGCCGGUUGUGAAAGCCCCGGGCUCAACCUGGGAACGGCAUCCGGAACUGUCAAGCUAGAGUGCAGGAGAGGAAGGUAGAAUUCCCGGUGUAGCGGUGAAAUGCGUAGAGAUCGGGAGGAAUACCAGUGGCGAAGGCGGCCUUCUGGACUGACACUGACACUGAGGUGCGAAAGCGUGGGUAGCAAACAGGAUUAGAUACCCUGGUAGUC